RNAcentral lists this ribosomal RNA (464 nucleotides) under uncultured Glomus. RNAcentral describes it as "SSU rRNA". It matches the Rfam family "Eukaryotic small subunit ribosomal RNA", at positions 569 to 1033 of the family's 1831-position model. Lineage: Eukaryota; Fungi; Glomeromycota; Glomeromycetes; Glomerales; Glomeraceae. The record is from RNAcentral.
AGCAGCCGCGGUAAUUCCAGCUCCAAUAGCGUAUAUUAAAGUUGCUGCAGUUAAAAGCUCGUAGUUGAAUUUCGGGAUCAAUAUGUUGGUCGUGCCUCGGUACGUACUAGCUUAUUGGUUUCUCCCUUCUGACGAACCAUGAUGUCAUUUAUUUGGUGUUAUGGGAAAUCAGGACUGUUACUUUUAGAAAAAUUAGAGUGUUUAAAGCAGGCUCACGCUUGAAUACAUUAGCAUGGAAUAAUGAAAUAGGACGUUUGAUUCUAUUUUGUUGGUUUCUAGGAUCGACGUAAUGAUUAAUAGGGAUAGUUGGGGCAUUAGUAUUCAAUUGUCAGAGGUUGAAAUUCUUGGGAUUUUUAUUGAAGACUAACUACUGCGAAAGCAUUUUGCCAAGGAUGUUUUCAUUAAUCAAGAACGAAAGUUUAGGGGGAUCGAAGACGAUCAGAUACCGUCGUAGUCUUAACCAU